UAACCAACAAAACGUUCAAAAACACAUCCCAACAGAGAGCCAUGACACGACAACACCAGAAAUAUCACUAUCCUUAAAUGAGAGUAAAGAUUUAGGACAACACGGUAAGUUAUUCAAGUUCUAACCAGAAAUUAUGCAUUGAUCCAUAUCUCUUUUCCACUUUACAUUUUCACUCCUUUGUAAAGGAGUGAAAACGAAAAAUGGAAGAGUGAUAUGGAUAAUACAUAGCAUCUGGUUGGAAUUUGAAUAACCUACCGCGUCUACAUGGCUCUUUACUUUAAUAAUUGUGAGAUCUCCGGUGUUCUGGUGCCAUGGUUCUAUGUUGGCAUGUGUUUUUCUUCGUUUUGUUGGGUAUAAGUUACACUUUCACUCUCAAAUCAUUUUGUAAUUUUGUUUCCUAAUUUUCACCAAAUGUUUAACAUUUUACCAAGAGAGCGAUUAUAUCUAAGGAUUUACAACUUGCUAGAAAGACUCUAAAUGAUCGACUUUGAAAUCAUGAUAUUGUAUCUUUUCAAUUUUGGGGUUAUUAUUCUCAUUUAAAUGCAUUCCUGAGAUUAUCUUAAAGAAAUAA
This 571-nucleotide small RNA is filed under the name Arabidopsis thaliana (thale cress). Its description in RNAcentral is "ATSL287310". The record is from RNAcentral. Lineage: Eukaryota; Viridiplantae; Streptophyta; Magnoliopsida; Brassicales; Brassicaceae.